This 484-nucleotide ribosomal RNA is filed under the name uncultured bacterium. Its description in RNAcentral is "partial 16S ribosomal RNA". It matches the Rfam family "Bacterial small subunit ribosomal RNA", at positions 30 to 507 of the family's 1533-position model. The record is from RNAcentral.
AUUGAACGCUGGCGGCAGGCCUAACACAUGCAAGUCGAGCGGAUGAAGGGAGCUUGCUCCUGGAUUCAGCGGCGGACGGGUGAGUAAUGCCUAGGAAUCUGCCUGGUAGUGGGGGAUAACGUCCGGAAACGGGCGCUAAUACCGCAUACGUCCUGAGGGAGAAAGUGGGGGUUCUUCGGACCUCACGCUAUAAGUUAACCCUAGGUCGGAUUAGCUAGUUGGUGGGGUAAAGGCCUACCAAGGCGACGAUCCGUAACUGGUCUGAGAGGAUGAUCAGUCACACUGGAACUGAGACACGGUCCAGACUCCUACGGGAGGCAGCAGUGGGGAAUAUUGGACAAUGGGCGAAAGCCUGAUCCAGCCAUGCCGCGUGUGUGAAGAAGGUCUUCGGAUUGUAAAGCACUUUAAGUUGGGAGGAAGGGCAGUAAGUUAAUACCUUGCUGUUUUGACGUUACCAACAGAAUAAGCACCGGCUAACUUCGUG